Molecule: transfer RNA, 77 nt
Filed under: Rhodospirillales bacterium
Lineage: Bacteria; Pseudomonadati; Pseudomonadota; Alphaproteobacteria; Rhodospirillales
Description: tRNA-Arg
Rfam family: tRNA
About the family: Transfer RNA (tRNA) molecules are approximately 80 nucleotides in length.
Source: RNAcentral
GUCCUCGUAGCUCAGCUGGAUAGAGCAUCGGUUUCCUAAACCGGGGGUCGCAGGUUCAAGUCCUGCCGAGGACGCCA